RNAcentral lists this ribosomal RNA (552 nucleotides) under Listeria monocytogenes. RNAcentral describes it as "partial 23S ribosomal RNA". It matches the Rfam family "Bacterial large subunit ribosomal RNA", at positions 1 to 539 of the family's 2925-position model. Lineage: Bacteria; Bacillati; Bacillota; Bacilli; Caryophanales; Listeriaceae. The record is from RNAcentral.
AGUAAAUUGGUUAAGUUAGAAAGGGCGCACGGUGGAUGCCUUGGCACUAGGAGCCGAAGAAGGACGGGACUAACACCGAUAUGCUUUGGGGAGCUGUACGUAAGCGUUGAUCCAGAGAUUUCCGAAUGGGGGAACCCACUAUCUUUAGUCGGAUAGUAUCCUUACGUGAAUACAUAGCGUAAGGAAGGCAGACCCAGGGAACUGAAACAUCUAAGUACCUGGAGGAAGAGAAAGAAAAAUCGAUUUCCUGAGUAGCGGCGAGCGAAACGGAAAGAGCCCAAACCAAGAAGCUUGCUUCUUGGGGUUGUAGGACACUCUAUACGGAGUUACAAAAGAAAGUUAUAAAUGAAGCGGUCUGGAAAGGCCCGCCAAAGACGGUAACAGCCCGGUAGUUGAAAUGGCUUUCCCUCCAGAGUGGAUCCUGAGUACGGCGGAACACGUGAAAUUCCGUCGGAAUCCGGGAGGACCAUCUCCCAAGGCUAAAUACUCCCUAGUGACCGAUAGUGAACCAGUACCGUGAGGGAAAGGUGAAAAGCACCCCGGAAGGGGAGU